Molecule: transfer RNA, 73 nt
Filed under: Aspergillus flavus
Lineage: Eukaryota; Fungi; Ascomycota; Eurotiomycetes; Eurotiales; Aspergillaceae
Description: tRNA-His
Rfam family: tRNA
About the family: Transfer RNA (tRNA) molecules are approximately 80 nucleotides in length. Their secondary structure includes four short double-helical elements and three loops (D, anti-codon, and T loops). Further hydrogen bonds mediate the characteristic L-shaped molecular structure. tRNAs have two regions of fundamental functional importance: the anti-codon, which is responsible for specific mRNA codon recognition, and the 3' end, to which the tRNAs corresponding amino acid is attached (by aminoacyl-tRNA synthetases). tRNAs cope with the degeneracy of the genetic code in two manners: having more than one tRNA (with a specific anti-codon) for a particular amino acid; and 'wobble' base-pairing, i.e. permitting non-standard base-pairing at the 3rd anti-codon position.
Source: RNAcentral
GGGGGGUAUAGUUCAAUAGGUAGAACAGCUGUAUGUGGCAUAGUAUAUCCUAGUUCAAUUCUAGGUACCCCUC